Molecule: ribosomal RNA, 245 nt
Filed under: Diversispora epigaea
Lineage: Eukaryota; Fungi; Glomeromycota; Glomeromycetes; Diversisporales; Diversisporaceae
Source: RNAcentral
CAGACGUGCCUGUAGUUGCUCAUCCGAGCCUCCGCUCGGUGCACUCUUCUAUGGGCAGGCCAGCAUCAGUUUGGGCGGUCGGAUAAAGGCUUCGGGAAUGUAGCUCCCCGUCGGGGAGUGUUGUAGCCCUUGGUUGUAUACCGUGGUUGGGACUGAGGAUCUCAGGCCGCAAGGCUGUAGGAUGCUGGCAUAAUGGCUUUAAUCGACCCGUCUUGAAACACGGACCAAGGAGUCUAGCAUAUAUG